RNAcentral lists this ribosomal RNA (442 nucleotides) under uncultured bacterium. RNAcentral's name for it is "bacterial SSU rRNA". It matches the Rfam family "Bacterial small subunit ribosomal RNA", at positions 29 to 507 of the family's 1533-position model. The record is from RNAcentral.
AGCGAACGCUGGCGGCAUGCUUAACACAUGCAAGUCGCACGGCAGUAGCAAUACUGUCAGUGGCGACGGGUGAGUAACGCGUAGGAAUCUAUCCUUGAAUGGGGGACAACCGUGGAAACUACGGCUAAUACCGCAUGAUGCCUGAGGGCCAAAGACGAAAGUCGUUUGAGGAGGAGCCUGCGUCUGAUUAGGUAGUUGGUGGGGUAAAGGCCUACCCAAGCCUACGAUCAGUAGCUGGUCUGAGAGGAUGAUCAGCCACAUUGGGACUGAGACACGGCCCAAAUCCUACGGGAGGCAGCAUGGGGAAUAUUGGACAAUGGGCGCAAGCCUGAUCCAGCAAUGCCGCGUGGGUGAACGAAGGUCUUCGGACUUUGGUAAAGCCCUUUUUGGCGGGGACGAUGUAUGACGGUACCCGCAGAAUAAGCUCCGGCUAACUUCCGUG